AGGACGAACGCUGGCGGCGUGCCUAACACAUGCAAGUCGAGCGGAGAUAGACUGAUGGUAACUGAAGCUUAUCUUAGCGGCGGACGGGUGAGUAACACGUGGGCAACCUGCCUUGGAGUGGGGGAUAACACCGGGAAAUCGGUGCUAAUACCGCAUAACAUACACAUACUGCAUGGUGAGUGUAUCAAAGGAGCAAUCCGCUUUAAGAUGGGCCCGCGGCUGAUUAGCUAGUUGGUAAGGUAACGGCUUACCAAGGCGACGAUCAGUAGCCGACCUGAGAGGGUGACCGGCCACACUGGAACUGAGACACGGUCCAGACUCCUACGGGAGGCAGCAGGUGGGGAAUAUUGCGCAAGUGGGGGAAACCCUGACGCAGCAACGCCGCGUGGAGGAAGAAGGUCUUCGGAUUGUAAACUGCUUUUCCAGGGGGAGAAACUUUCCGAUGCAUCGGGAUUUGACGGUACCCUGGGAAUAAGCAUCGGCUAACUCCGUG
RNAcentral lists this ribosomal RNA (493 nucleotides) under uncultured bacterium. RNAcentral describes it as "bacterial SSU rRNA". It matches the Rfam family "Bacterial small subunit ribosomal RNA", at positions 26 to 507 of the family's 1533-position model. The record is from RNAcentral.